AUUGAACGCUGGCGGCAUGCUUUACACAUGCAAGUCGAACGGCAGCGCGGGCUUCUGCCUGGCGGCGAGUGGCGAACGGGUGAGUAAUACAUCGGAACGUGCCCAGUAUUUGGGAUAGCUCGGCGAAAGCCGGAUUAAUACCGCAUACGACCUGAAGGUGAAAGCGGGGGAUCUUCGGACCUCGCGCUAUUGUAGCGGCCGAUGGCAGAUUAGCUAGUUGGUGGGGUAAAGGCCUACCAAGGCGACGAUCUGUAGCUGGUCUGAGAGGACGACCAGCCACACUGGGACUGAGACACGGCCCAGACUCCUACGGGAGGCAGCAGUGGGGAAUUUUGGACAAUGGGCGAAAGCCUGAUCGAGCAAUGCCGCGUGUGUGAUGAAGGCCUUCGGGUUGUAAAGCACUUUUGGCGGGAACGAAAAGGACUGUGCCAAUACCACGGUUCGAUGACGGUACCCGCAGAAUAAGCACCGGCUAACUACGUG
This 483-nucleotide ribosomal RNA is filed under the name uncultured bacterium. RNAcentral describes it as "partial 16S ribosomal RNA". It matches the Rfam family "Bacterial small subunit ribosomal RNA", at positions 30 to 507 of the family's 1533-position model. The record is from RNAcentral.